Molecule: ribosomal RNA, 444 nt
Filed under: Triticum aestivum (bread wheat)
Lineage: Eukaryota; Viridiplantae; Streptophyta; Magnoliopsida; Poales; Poaceae
Description: partial small subunit ribosomal RNA
Source: RNAcentral
AUGGAGACCCUACGCCUGCUCAGGUUGCUCUAUGUUAGUAGCAGAAGAACCCGAAGCAACAGAAUAUCUUGUAGCAAUGGAACAACGACACCAGUGAUGGACUCCACUCCGCAAGGACUCUUGCUGGAACGUGAUCUGGCUUGCACGAACGGUAACCUCAACAAGCAAUCAAUCACGGCAUCACCUGCAAUCUGGCAUGACAUGCCAGGUCAGUACAUUGAAUGUACUUUCAAGCUCACAGCAACCAAAAGCAAUCAAGACAAACAACAUCAUGGCAUUUACAGGUUUAACAUUGAUGAGCAUGAUACAACAUGGCAUGUACAUGGCGAACAAGAUACCACUAGAACAAUAUCAGAUGAGCAUGGCAUGAACAUGUUGAACAUAACACAUCUAGCAUCACAUGAAAUGAGCAUGGCAAGGUUACUCAUGAUAUGCACAAGAUGA